GAUGAACGCUGGCGGCGUGCCUAAUACAUGCAAGUCGAACGAAACUUCUUUAUCACCGAGUGCUUGCACUCACCGAUAAAGAGUUGAGUGGCGAACGGGUGAGUAACACGUGGGCAACCUGCCCAAAAGAGGGGGAUAACACUUGGAAACAGGUGCUAAUACCGCAUAACCAUAGUUACCGCAUGGUAACUAUGUAAAAGGUGGCUAUACUACCGCUUUUGGAUGGGCCCGCGGCGCAUUAGCUAGUUGGUAGGGUAAAGGCUUACCAAGGCAAUGAUGCGUAGCCGAAGUGAGAGGUUGAUCGGCCACAUUGGGACUGAGACACGGCCCAAACUCCUACGGGAGGCAGCAGUAGGGAAUCUUCCACAAUGGGCGAAAGCCUGAUGGAGCAACGCCGCGUGGGUGAAGAAGGUCUUCGGAUCGUAAAACCCUGUUGUUAGAGAAGAAAGUGCGUGAGAGUAACUGUUCACGUUUCGACGGUAUCUAACCAGAAAGCCACGGCUAACUACGUG
RNAcentral lists this ribosomal RNA (512 nucleotides) under uncultured bacterium. RNAcentral's name for it is "partial 16S ribosomal RNA". It matches the Rfam family "Bacterial small subunit ribosomal RNA", at positions 28 to 507 of the family's 1533-position model. The record is from RNAcentral.